GGGGGUGUAGCUCAGUGGUAGAGCACUUUCCCAUCAUGGAUGAGGCCCUGGGUUCCAACCCCAGCUCUACAG
Molecule: transfer RNA, 72 nt
Filed under: Cavia porcellus (domestic guinea pig)
Lineage: Eukaryota; Metazoa; Chordata; Mammalia; Rodentia; Caviidae
Rfam family: tRNA
About the family: Transfer RNA (tRNA) molecules are approximately 80 nucleotides in length. Their secondary structure includes four short double-helical elements and three loops (D, anti-codon, and T loops). Further hydrogen bonds mediate the characteristic L-shaped molecular structure. tRNAs have two regions of fundamental functional importance: the anti-codon, which is responsible for specific mRNA codon recognition, and the 3' end, to which the tRNAs corresponding amino acid is attached (by aminoacyl-tRNA synthetases). tRNAs cope with the degeneracy of the genetic code in two manners: having more than one tRNA (with a specific anti-codon) for a particular amino acid; and 'wobble' base-pairing, i.e. permitting non-standard base-pairing at the 3rd anti-codon position.
Source: Rfam by way of RNAcentral